GAUGAACGCUGGCGGCAUGCCUUACACAUGCAAGUCGGACGGGAAGUGGGGUUUCCAGGGGCGGACGGGUGGUUAACGCGUAAGAACUUGCCCUUGGGUGGGGAACAACAGCUGGAAAGGGCUGCUAAUACCCCGUAGGCUGAGGAGCGAAAGGAGGACUCCGCCCAAGGAGGGGCGCGGGUCUGAUUAUCCAGUUGGGGAGGGAAUAGUUCACCCACGCCGUUAUCAGGAGGUGGUCCGAGGGGAUGAUCAGCCACACUGGGAAUGAGACAAGGCCCAGGACUCCACCGGAGGCCGGCGUGGGGAAAUAUCCGACAUGGGCGAAAAGCUGGCGCCGCAAUGGCGCGUGGAGGUAAAAGGCCUACGGGUCAUGAAAUUCUUUUCCUCCAGAAGAAAAAAUACAGUUCUCUGGGAAAAAACCCUCGGCAACCCCUGUC
This 437-nucleotide ribosomal RNA is filed under the name uncultured bacterium. RNAcentral's name for it is "partial 16S ribosomal RNA". It matches the Rfam family "Bacterial small subunit ribosomal RNA", at positions 28 to 507 of the family's 1533-position model. The record is from RNAcentral.